GACGAACGCUGGCGGCGUGCUUAACACAUGCAAGUCGAACGGAAAGGCCCUGCUUGCAGGGUACUCGAGUGGCGAACGGGUGAGUAACACGUGGGUGAUCUGCCCUGCACUUCGGGAUAAGCCUGGGAAACUGGGUCUAAUACCGGAUAGGAGCCAUUUUUAGUGUGAUGGUUGGAAAGUUUUUUCGGUGUAGGAUGAGCUCGCGGCCUAUCAGCUUGUUGGUGGGGUAAUUGCCUACCAAGGCGGCGACGGGUAGCCGGCCUGAGAGGGUGGACGGCCACAUUGGGACUGAGAUACGGCCCAGACUCCUACGGGAGGCGGCAGUGGGGAAUAUUGCACAAUGGGCGCAAGCCUGAUGCAGCGACGCCGCGUGGGGGAUGACGGCCUUCGGGUUGUAAACUCCUUUCGCUAGGGACGAAGCUUUUUGUGACGGUACCUAGAUAAGAAGCACCGGCUAACUACGUG
This 465-nucleotide ribosomal RNA is filed under the name uncultured bacterium. RNAcentral's name for it is "partial 16S ribosomal RNA". It matches the Rfam family "Bacterial small subunit ribosomal RNA", at positions 28 to 507 of the family's 1533-position model. The record is from RNAcentral.